RNAcentral lists this ribosomal RNA (440 nucleotides) under uncultured bacterium. RNAcentral's name for it is "partial 16S ribosomal RNA". It matches the Rfam family "Bacterial small subunit ribosomal RNA", at positions 338 to 795 of the family's 1533-position model. The record is from RNAcentral.
CCUACGGGUGGCAGCAGUAGGGAAUAUUGCUCAAUGGGGGAAACCCUGAAGCAGCAACGCCGUGUGAAGGAUGAAGGUUUUCGGAUUUUUAACUCCUUUUUUUAGAGAAGAUAAUUACGGUAUCUAACGAAUAAUGACCGGCUAACUCCGUGCCAGCAGCCCCGGUAAUGCGGAGGGUGCCAGCGUUAUUCGGAGUCACUGGGCGUAAAGCGCGUGUAGGCGGGAUAGCAAGUCAGUUGUGAAAUCUUAGGGCUUAACCAUAGAACUGCAUUUGAAACUGUUAUUCUAGAGUAUGGGAGAGGUAGGUGGAAUUCUUGGUGUAGGGGUAAAAUCCGUAGAGAUCAAGAGGAAUACUCAUUGCGAAGGCGACCUGCUAGACCGUAACUGACGCUGAUGCGCGAAAGCGUGGGGAGCAAACAGGAUUAGAUACCCGGGUAGUC